Molecule: long non-coding RNA, 16596 nt
Organism: Gasterosteus aculeatus aculeatus (three-spined stickleback)
Lineage: Eukaryota; Metazoa; Chordata; Actinopteri; Perciformes; Gasterosteidae
Source: Ensembl
CCCCCCCCCAUUCCUCCCAUAACGGUGGCAGAUGGCUGCAGAUGAAUCCCUCAUAAUCAUGUCAGGACGGCUCCUCCGAUCCCAAUUCAUCUCUUUAAACACAUUUCAUCAGAAGGAGAAUUACACAAAGAUAAAGGCGGCCGGCAGACAACAAAAGCACACAAAGAUUGUCCUUGCAAACAAGUGUUCUUAGUCCGUAACACCACUUAAUCAUUUGUGCUCCUGUUAUUGCUCCUCACCCUCUGUGCUAUCAACUCUACCCCAUUUCCCUCCCCUGUCUCUCACUCUUCCACCCUUUAUUUAUGGUGUUUUCCCCCAUACAGUUAAUUGUCUCCGUCCCCUGCUAGCGUCUGUCCAUUAUUAAGCAUAAAUCUCUCUAACAAGCUGUCCUCUCAUCCCCGUCGCUGCCUUUAUGAAGAGACAGGUGUGUAAAAUCCUCUCCUCCCCUCAUUGACUCCUGGUUUUCUGAUGGCUGCCCUUUUUUUUUUUUUGGAGGGGUGAUAAUUUGCCACAAAGUGAAUCGUGAUUUCCUUCCCCCUCAAGCCCACCCUCCCCCUGCCGUGACCCCGUGUCACCCAUCCGCACGAUGCUGUUAAUUGUGGAUCAGGUGAAGUUUGUCUCACCUCAUUUCAGGGCCAUGCUCCGCUAGGGCCAUUCUCCCCACUCAAAGGCCACAUCAUUUCACAGCCUCCUACUUCUCAUUAAUCCCUCCUGAGUGGCUGCUCUCUCCCAGUUCCAGAUCACAGAUUUGUUUUGCUCUUGUUUUCUGACUCGCUGCCCUCCCCGGCUACCCGCUCCUCUCCUCCGCCUGCACGUUAACCCCUGAAGCGAGGCUCCCCCUCCCCCCCCUUCACCUCCCUCACCACUGUCUUCCUUCCAUUUUUUGAAAUCAUGGCAUGUAGCCUAACGGCUGACAGCUGACGUUCCCCUCGCAACUCCUUGCUUUGCUGGCAUUUUCUUCCCUCGCAAAGAUCUCUUUGUUCUGUACCUUGGGGACUGAAGCUAGAAGCCACAGUGGAUUCGGGGGAAAACGGGCGGACAGGAGUCUGCUCGCUGUGCCAGUAUCACCUCUCGUUCCAGAACAACUCCACUCACACACCCGGCUGCAUUGUACAUCUGAUAAGAACCCGCCAACUCCGGCCUCCGAGAGACAAAUCGAAGGAAACAAUGGCGUCGCUGUGUGUUUGUGUGUCUGAUCAACGCGGCAGUCAGACUUCACUUGUUUCUUCCCCGCUAAACUUUUUUGUUGAUUUAUAAAUUAUUCAUGACAGAAAGCUGAAGAUCUCUCAUUAACAUAAAAUAACAAUUUGCUAAUUUAUGGAAACUCCUAAUUACUUGCCUUAUUUGCCAUGACCGUAUUAAAUAUUCAUAAACAUGUGAUCAUUUCUUUGAUUUGACUGUCGUUCGGCUUAAUUUACUAUUUUUGCUAAACAAUAGCGGUGUGCCAGCUUGUGCCGUGAGUAGCAACCACAACAAAAACCCAGGAGGGAACAAUGAACAAUAUUGUGCAUUCAUGGCAGGGCCUUUGAUUGUCUGACUCUUUCCUACAAUACACCUUUAUUUUACUUUAUCCAUAUGCUAAUUUGGGGGUUUGUGGUUGUUGAUGAUUUUAAACCCUUUGAACAUGUACUGAAUGAUCUUUAGGGCAUUAGAAAACAAUGAUAAAAAAUACAUUUCACAAUCAAUUCCGGUGUAAAUUGAAAUAUGCUUUGGUCAUUUAAAUGCCCCACAUCUGGGAAUAAGAUCACAGCUUUCAUGAAAUAACCAAAACUGAAUGUGCAGCAGCAGCUUGUUUAACUUUCUGAAAGAGCCCACUGAAUAUAUAUAAAACCAAACUCAACUGCUAUUUUAUGGAUCUACGGUUGCAGAGAAACGAUUGGGAUGAGCAAAAAACGUGUGAAUCGUAGCGCGGCUCCAGCUUCAAAAUCAAAAAUGCAUUAAUUCAUUUGGCUUCCAUCCAGAACUAAUCACUUCAUUUUCUGUUCUGUAGCAUGGAAGUCAGCUUUCACUCCACUUCAUUUCAAUUCACUCACACAUGAAAGGAAAAUAACAGGACGCGCAUGAAAAGAUGAGUCUGUCUUUGAAUAUCUCCUCUUGUCUUUGUGCCUUGCAAACUGUUGUCAGAUGAAGUCUCAGCCAAGUUCUCGGGAGAAAGCUGAGUCUCGGAUCCCAUCUGGAACGACGAAGAUGAGGUCUCUCGCUGUCGUCGCGUCUGUUGUCAAGGCUGCAUUUAACCUCAAAUUUACGACUUUGUUAUAUCAAAAUUAAUUACAGACAUUUCCCCCCAAAGUGAGUGACGUUGACGAAAACGCUAAGCACAGGCAAUUUAGCUCUAUUUGCCGAUUCAUUUGGGCCCACCUGUGAUGCUUGGUGUGCUAAGUAGGUACAUCAGUUUUAAUUACAGGCCUCGCAGAGUGGGUUUAGUUAAAUUACAGUAUUAAUUAUCACGUUUACCAGAUAUCAGAGUGACAAACGGUUGUGGAGAAGCACUUCCCUGAAACCUCCUGUUUCUCCAGACGAUGGUUUCACUGUCCUUCAAGCAACCUUCAGGCAGGUGGAGAUGAUGGAAGGCUUUGUUUUUUCGAACGAGAAGCGUCCACCUUGAUUCAUCACCUUCCACUGGCUGCCAGAGAUGUUCACUUCUGAAGCUCAAAGGCAGACUUGUAUGGGUUUUGACAUUUCAUGCUUCCACACAGAACGAGGCCCAAUGACAAGUUUUCUUGCCAUAUGGCAAAAUUAGGGAGACCAUUUGGAAAAUGAAGAAAACACCUCACUGAAAUCAAGGCAGUUGCGCCCAUUAUGAGGGGAAAAUAAGUGGCCUUUAUCCACGUCAUUACCCUCUUCAUUCAGUCAGCUACAUUAAUCUCCUCAUGGAUAAUAUGAUUCACGGUUGACUGCUACUUCAGUCUAGAUCUGAAAGAAAAAAUAGCGACCUUUGACCCCCUGCGAUCAUUCGAAAUAUAAGACAGUGUUCAUGAACCAAUAACAAAUAAGAAGCUUUUGUAGUAGAUUUAUCGAGAUUAGCUAUUGCUUGAUAACCAGUUUGAUAUCUGGGAAAUAUGCUCAAUCUCAAAAGACCAUUCUCAAGUCUGCACAGUAAAUAUGAGGCUGCAGCCGGCAGCUGGUUAGCUUAGCUUAACAUAUAGACAGGAAAGAGUAUUUGGCAAUGACAUUUUCUGAGCACCAGUGUUAUAUUUCCCCCAAGAAAUCAACUUAUAAAACCAAAAGUCACUAUUGGGCUUACAUUCAACCAAGUGGCCAGAAAUAAGACUCCAAAUUGAAACUUAUGUCACUCCAUAACUGCUGAAUGAGAUAAUAUUUAAAUUACGGCCGUUCUCAAGAGGCCCAAAGCUGUGAUGGUGGCUAGUAGCCUUUGGGGAUAACAUGAGGAGCUGUUUUCUGUGAUUCUUCACUUUUUUCCAAGCUAAGCUAAUCAACACUUCCAACUUCAUAUUUACCAAACAGAUACAGUAAGAGUGGCACGAUCGUCUCAUCCAGCUGUCAGAAAGAUAGCCAAGGCAUGUUUCCUUGAUUUUACAACAACACCUUUAAAAAAGGACCACGCCAAAAAAAAGACAUGUUGUCCAGGGAAUUAGACGCUCACUGUGAAAGACAGAGGUCCACAUCUGAAAUGUGUCCAGGGCUGGAACUGGACAGAAGGCCCCCAUUUAGCCUUUGGCUGAUGUUCUCUCCCAGCAAAGUAGUAUAUUAAUCAUAAUCACACAACACCAUUAGACUGUGUCAUUCUAUUAAAGACAUCACAUUAUCACACAUUUCAUUAAUUAAACUCAAAGCCAGUCCAUCCACUGCGAGGAGCGUCACAUAAGAGCAGGGGAGAGAGAGAGAGCGAGAGAGAGAGAGAGAGAGAGAGAGGGGGGGGGGGGGGCUUAGGACGAAGGGAGAGGUUGAGGGAGGAAGGGGGCAGAGGGCAGGACACUUCACCACUCCACUCACCGUCUCUCCAAAGUGAAAUGGAGGGGAUGGAUUUGCAUGUCGUGGCACGCGGCCAGAGGCUCAAACAAUAGGAGCCGACGACGGAGGUGUUGGUGAGGGAUCCUUCUGACAAGUGUCUGCAUGGUGGAGGACCGCGAGACUUUAGCGUGGAUCACUGGCGGGAUCACGCAGGUGUCGAGGUGUGAUGAGGUGUGAUGAGGAUGCAGAAUGCAGAGUGCAAAAACGCACUUCAAGGGGCAGAGAGAGGAGAGCAGCGUUGAUGUGCACUUUUUAAUGCUAAUAAUGCAGCGCCAUAGGCCACGAUCGGUAACGUUUCUUAGCCUCUGCAAUUAUAUGUGAACAAAGGCAACAAGAAACAACAAGUUAGUUCUCUGGUGAUGAUGUAAACAAUCACUGAUUAUUUUCCUUUAGAUAAUAACGAUCUAAUUCUGUCUGAUGCACAAUUGGCAAAUCUGCAAUGGACGUGAUUCAGUGCACAAUGUGAUACAAUGAUGUCCAGACUAAAGCAUUGCAUCAUAAUACGUCACACAAACGUUUCUCAAAAAUAAAGUUUGUUUGAAGGUUUUGAACAUCAAGUUUGUUUAUAGAAACUCCAUAAACUCUUGAACAUGACAUUUUUUCUUUGCAACACUGCUUUCUUCCUCUCACGCUUGACCAGACACUUGUCUGUCUUUUUCUUCCACCUCGGAACAACGUGGCCCCUUUCCUUGAAAAGACGAGACAGGGGAACCUUAAUGAUGUGCAAACAUCCGGGGAGAGGCAGCGCGCUUGUCUAAAACGCCCGGAGGGGGAGGAAGGAGAGACAGACAGGGACGCGGGCUCGUUUAGUCCAGCGCGGCGCUUCAAACACCGAGCUGUGAUUCCAAACAAUCGUCGGCCCGCUCCUCUGAUGUGCGCCCGUUGAAACCUGGAAUAGACCUGUCACUCCCUAACCCUCAAUAAUUGCUCGCCUGCAGAGCGGGCCGCGGACCCCGAGGGUGUGGAGGGUGCAACUGAGUGUACGCGUCCACGUGAGUGAUGUGUAAGAGUCCCAUUGGGCAAAGAGGGGUCUCCUUGCUCCCCCUUGCCCCGACACUGUGGCGGAGCAUCGCUCACUGCCACCUGGGGAAAGCAGGCGUCUCAUUGGGGUCAUGCCACCCCCAGUGGAAUGUGAGUCAAAAAGAAAUGGGCCUGAACAUUGCACAGUAUCCCCAGUCCGAGCUCCAUUAAGCCGGGCAUCCUCGCUUUGGGAUGGAUGUCCAUUAUUACAGAAGACCAUCCAUAUAGCUCUUAGUUACUGUGCUUCAUGCCCAACAUGGAGAGAGAGAAGAGAGGAGAGUCUAAUUCUAUACACAGUUUAUUUUCUUUGGAAACAGUUUCACAAAUACAACACAAAUUGUAGUGCGAUUAAAAUGUUUAGGACGAAUUGUGCAUUCAUUCUAAAAUCCCUCUUCUCUCACGCGUCAGACCGGUAGCUCUCCCGGGGUCUCAGUGUCUCUUGGCUCAGCCGAUGCCCACGGCUCCUCCUGGCAUGACGGGGCGUCCUGCAGAGAGGGACCACAGGAAACAGGCUGCGAGGCAGAAGGGGUCUCACAACAUGUGGCACCCUGCUCUUCCUCCACCGAGGCACCACCUAAUCCUCCGACGGAGCCCAUCGUGACCACCUGAUUGCAUCAUUUGCAAAUCUCCAGGAAUGACUGUAAAAACGUGUCUCGUUAUAGUUGUGGGGAGAAAAAGGACAGAAGAACAUCUUCAAAAGCAAACUAUUCUUGAGCCAUGGGAACAAACAAAAGACCAGAAUGAUUUUAGACAUUUUUGAGCACCGGGAUCACAAAUCUGCUGCAGCAAAAAACAGAUGAGACCACUCGCGGGUUUUGUAAUAUUGCAACACAGCGACGCCUUCUUGUAACACAACACUGUGUACGUGGUAUUUGAUGAAGAACAAGCACCCAGUAAAAGACAUCCCACUCGGUCCCGGUUGCCUCCACCUCUGCCUGUUUGUGAUGAAGGGCUCUUUUUGGUGUGAGAGUGAAAGAGACAGGCUGGGCUGGCUUGUCAUGUCAUAAAGGAUGCAGUCAGAGUGAGCAGACAUGAUUUCAUGGCUAAUGAUUCCCGCACUAAUAUCAGUGUGGGCUGCAGAGGGGAUAACCAAGUUGAGCUGUCUUAGCUCAAAUGAUUCAAUUAGGCCAGCUGUCCCUAUUUGUCAUGGCUCAACCGGCUUCUAGAUUACCUUUCCAGAGUGCGUACGUGCCUCUGCAUUGAACUUACCAGCUCAACAGUUUCAUGAAGCAAAGAAAUAAAUAAGGAAAAAAAGAGAGAAUAGGGGGGGAAGAAACGAAGGAGCGUUGGAGAGGAAGAAAUGAAACAAAGAAUGCAGUAAUAACCACAUUAUCCAGUUAAACUCUGAGGCCAAUUACAGAGAUAAAUGUGACUUUUUGUUGUGCGGUGGAUCCUUGUGGGGAAAUCAGAGGAAAGCCCUUAGAGCUUGCUGGAUUGACUGGAGAUGUUCUAUACAUGGACAUCUGAUCACUAAAAAACAGCAGAGAUAAUGUCAAGGUCAAGGGAUAAGCAAAAAUAACCUCUUUUUCUCACUAUUUUCUUUCUCCAGUGACAUUAUUUCCAUUCCUCUAUUUUAUUCUCAAGUUGUCUCAAAAAUGAAAAAUGUAAAACAGCACAAGAAAAGGCAGAAUAGAACACGCCUGUACAGUCCUGCUUCUUCACCGUUCCUUCUCUGAGCCUCAAUUAGGUGUGUGAUGAGUAUUAAAUUCAAAGAAGCAUUAGAGUCAUUAGCGUUGAUUGAGUUGAUGACUCUGAGGGCAAUGUCUUCCUACUUUCCCUUUAAUGUAGUUAAACGGAAAUUUGUGUCAACUAACCUCAUCAGCUCCAAUUAACACAAUUGUCAGUUUUGGGUCAGAGAGUAGACAACCAGGAUCGGCAACACUAAAACGUUAAAAUAUCUCGUUUGUUAAUCGUAAUUAGCUUUGUUAGUGCUGCCACGUUUGCAUUAACAUCGAACCCGUUUGAAACAAUGGCGCUACUGUAUUCUGCACACACGGCGUUAUGUGAGGUGGAAGCUCAGUUAGACGCGCCUGCUUACAAUUCAAAUAAACAAUAUCCCAUUAAAAGCAUUCUUCGCAGGCGAAACAACAACACGUCACUGCACCGCGCAGAAGCCGACGUCAACGCGAGAAAUGAAAGGUUUUUGUUCUCGUGGGCGACAUCCGAGCAGCGUAAUGGGACAAUAUUCCUUAAACGUCCUUCCACUGUACUGCUAAGAGUCUGAUAACGAUGUGAGUGGAGAUAAUGAGAUCACGCUGCUGUGUGCGUCGGGUCAGCUUCUCAUCCCUGAAACAUGUUAUUUCUGAGGAAGCGGACAAUACACACUGCCCUCCUUCACGUCACCUGGAAACAUGCUUCAUUCUUUACUUAGUGUCAUUUGCUUUUUGUUUUUCCACGUUCACACCACUCAUCACAAUACACAGACAUAACCAACGUCUGAGUAACACAAACACAAAUUAAUAAUUAGAAAUGCUGAACUUGUGGCGGAUUGUGAAUUGACAUUAAACCUGAAUUUGAACUGAAGGCACCAAACUGCCCGUAGAGAGUAAGUGGUUCAUUCAUAUGUGUUUCCAUUGUGUCUCCUCCGAGCGCUGGUGAACGAGGGCAGCCUCGCCUCCGAGCUGUCAAAGCUCUGACUGGAAUCAGCCUUAUUGCAGUGAUUGAGGGGACAGGCCUCCGCAGCACAAAAAACACCAUCCAACGGGACUAGAAAGGCCACGUUCAUACAACCGAGUUCACACAUUUGUCUUCGUUAAUCCAAUUCUGUUGGGUUUCGUCAGCCUGGCGAGCGAACGCUUACACAGUUAUACAGUCAGUGGAGAAAUAAAAGCACCAGAUAUGGCCAGAGGUCACAGAGCUCUGGCCAUAUCUGGUGAGCAAAUAGGAGUUCUUCUUGGGUUUGGCCGUGUUGUUGAAAAGGCCCCUCGGGCGCUGGUGCUUUCAGACCGCCUUAACGCUAAAAGUGUCAUGAUCGCUACAUUUAAUGUAACAAAUCACAAAUUGAUUGGUCGCUGAAACAAUUCAAUUUGAACAAGUAUUACAAACAUUUUGGGAUUUUUUUUUUACACAACACGACUAUUUUUUUGCUUAAAGACAGGCAGAUGAUUCUGAAUGGAACAAUUUUAGAUUCAUUUAGCAUAUGUUGUUGGCAUGAUAUUUUGCCGUUGAGCUCCUUACCGCUCGGGCCAAAUAGUGACGCUCAGACUCGACAGGCCCCGGGAAUAAAGAACAUCAUUACUGCCUUAUCUUUAGCGAUGGAGAGAGGUGUCAACGACACUUCUGCCGCAUGCAGGCAGCAGCUGAGCUGCGAGAUGUCCUGGCACACAGCACGGUCUUCCUGGCCAGAGCUUUGUAGCCAAAUCUUUACCUUUUAAUUACAGGAAUAUUCAUUGCUCAUAUUGUCUACACGUGAUUCAUUCUGUACCAGUUCUGACUGGAAAAUGUAGCAUCAGAUGGUUGAAAACAUUUUGGGAAAACAUGCUUUGUUGUUUCAUGCAAAGAGAAGUUGUGGAUACCUUUUUCGCAUUUUUUGUGUUAAGCAUCAAGAAAUUGUUCAGCACGAAAAAAAGCAAACAUUGGGUGUAACGCUUUGUUCUUUGUAGGCAUUGUUUUCAUUGGUGACGUUUGGAUACGCUUCAUCUCCUUUCUUAUGACAGAGGCUAGCUGUUUCAACCCGUUUUCACAGCCUUUAUGCUAAGCUAACGGACACAAGUUAUUUGGAUUUGUUUUUGCUGUAGCUAGAUAACCUCACAGCGUUAAGCUCACAAUUAGGCGUUAGUCUCCUCUUUGUUCAUUCUUCGUAUCUGCUCUGCCACCAAUCAUCACGUCAUCAAACGUGCUCCACUCGGCCAGAGAGCGAGAGACGGAGGGCUCGUAGACAACCUCCUCACCUGCUCCCUUCACCCCUCCUCCGCUACCUGCAACGCCGAGCUGCACUGCAUCCUGGGUGCAGCUGAGGCCAUGCCAAAACCCAAUUUGGAACGUGUCCAGCACUUCAUUGGAAAGUAAUGGUUUUCACUGAACUGAGUUAUGACCAGCUGUUUGCAGACAGUCGGUGACAUACUGAUGGAGCGGAACACCGUAUGUUGCUUUCCAAAUCAAAUGAUACAAGGAGUGUGACAGUGUGGAGAAACAUCUGUCAUUAGCAAUUUUCAGCACGCUCCACUAAUUCUGGACAAAAUGUGCCUAAUGAAGUUACCGCAGGAAACUUCAAAUAUUGUCAGAGCAACAAGGCCAUAAGAAGCCGGUGCUCACCAAGGCCUGUAAUCUGAUUCAUUUGUUGUGAGAAAAAUACAGCAGGAGGAGGGUAAUUGUUUUUUGAUCAUGAUGUUUCAAAAUGCAAAUCACAAACGUUGUUCUUUAAUCCGAGAACAAAAACCCGAGAAAAUCAAGGACACGACAGUGGCUGGCUUUUUCUUUAUUGAUGUCCCCCUCCCCUUGUAGCGGCGCUUCAUAGAUGGCGUUUCUGUAUGGGGGGGCACGUGAAAGCUUUGAUGGGCCGGGUGAUAGAGUUCAGUACAUGAUGAUCUGUUGCAGAAACCCCUCUGUUCAUUGCACAGAGAAUCAGUGUCCUUUGCUAACAGGUUGUUACGUCGCUAAUCCCUACAUAAAAUUAGUCCGUAAAUUAAUUUUGAUAACUACAUGCUUCUUUUAGAGCAUAUCUCUUGAUAUGCUUUGGCGCUGCGACCAAACACCCCACAGAAUUGCUUCCUCGUUGCCUUUAUUGUUGAAUACCAAGUUGAGAGUAGACAAUAAGUCGAGCACUAACAAUACUCAUUUGGCCACUCUCUGUUCAUAAUUUGCCAGUUCCCUGCUUCCUAAAUUUAUUCAGACUAUGUUGUGAGGAUGAGAGGGUUUGUGACAGGCAGCUCUGCUGAAAGUGGUCCUCUCCUCCAGAACAGUUGUUGUAGUGAGAAGUGUUAGAGACGGGUGGGCGUCUGGACCCAAGUAUGCUGCUCAAACACGAGGCCUGUGUCUAUCUGGCAGCCGUCUCCUGGCGGCAGAAGGGCCAUAAACCCGCCUGUGUUAAUUCUGCCGUAAUUAUCAUGGGUGCCACAUGUUAUGCAGGAUGUCCUACCACUGCAGAUCCACUUGAAAGUUUGCAGUGAAAUCCUUCCGCGCUGCUUAAAGCUGUGGCAGCCGAGGCGGACGCGGAGCGUGACAGUUGGCCGCUGCAAUUAGAAAGGGCUGCUCCUGGAGCCCCGCCCCCGAGUCUCAUUUCCUGUCGCGGCCCUUUGCAAUCAUGUGUUUUAUGCGGUGCAUGUUGGUGAAUAAAUGGCUGCACUGAGAUGACAAUAAUCACCCACACUGCCCCCAGGGAGGGGGCGGCCUCUCUCAGGGACUACAUUAGUCAUAAAUAUGCAAAACGGCAUGCUUUGUUUCAGUUCAAGGUUGCCUGGACUGUAUGGUUAAAAAUGUUAUUAUUAGAAGAAGUCGAAGAACCUGACGCCAAAUGAAACCUCACUAUAACACAUUUCGCAUGAAUUAGAUUCACAUAGAAGGAUGCACAGAUUUAACAAUGCCCGUGCAAUUACAACGUUUACUCGAUUGUUCUCAGUAAAGAGUCACCCAAUAAUCCAUCAGCAGCGUGAGCAUUACCCAUCACUCUCAGCCUCAGUCGUCCUCUUGCUGUCACGGCCAACGAGUGGCCCUCUCCAUUGCCUCAUCUCGAGACUCGAUGUCCCCCCAGGAGAGUCGCAGGCGGCCUCACUCAGCACCGCCCGGGCCGUGCUUUGGCAGGUCUACGCGGUUUAGCAACCUGAGAAAUCGCACACUCUCUCUCCCAGUCGGGGCGGAAGGCUUUGUGUCUCUCCCAUAUUGACCCACUCCCACUCCUGCGCUCCCGUCAUCCAUCUGUCGGAGAACACUUUCUUCCCGUUGUCCUGUGAUUCUGACAAGAUCACCCACAUGCUCCCUCCUUGUUGUCCGUUCACAGGCGGACAAACUGCACGCACGGGCGUUUGUUGGCGACACAAGUGACAAAACGGAAAAUCAUCAUUGUGUCACACAUUUGGACACACGUACACAUGCACAAUUAAACUUUUUUUAAUAUCUAUUACGUGCAGUUAUAUCAAUCCCUUCUUCCCCACUCUGUGCUCUAUGAUGAGUUUUAACGUGUCGUCCUGUUUCCUAGGCCGUAAAGGCAGCGCGGUGGCAUCUCAACUGUCUGUCACGUUAGACGAUGUCUCCUACCCCAAAUCUACUGACGUUGAUUUGUGAGCAUAAUGUCUGAUUAUAGGAUGGGUGACAGAUAAAUUCUAUCAAAAUUAAGGCACAAUUAAACAUUUCAUCUGCACUAAUUACUGGCUGUAGAUUUGGCGAGAUGACCAUGUGCUGCAGGAAAUCAGCAACCAUAACACAUUUUGAUGGGGCACAGCUGUCUUACAGCUUGGUAAUAUUUGCAUAGUGCACCAGAACUGUAAUUUAUGAGACAGAAAGAAGGAGAAAAUCUGCACUGGAUUGAGUGCUAGAUUAGAUUUUGAAUUUAUGUUCUUUAAUGAGGUUUGGAUUUGUUGCUGCCGGUUGUUUCUUAUCAAAGAUCGGUGUGGACGCUGUAGUGUCUCGGUACAUCUGGGAAGAGGGAUCAUUACUGCUUAUGUGUGUGUGUGUGUGUGUGUGUGUCUGCAGUUUAUGUAAAUGUUCGCUCGACUAAAGGUAAUGUUGCAUCUUGCAGCCUCGCACAAACAACAUUUAGAUUCACUCGCUGCGAGGAAGAGGAAGGUAGUUGAUUUUGAGUGUGCACGCAUCGCCGGCACUGGACAGACUUGAUGGGUUCACGCUAAAGUAAUCAGCCCCAGUAUCCGCUUGUGCCAAGGAAUAAGCCUGGGAAAUUCACCAAAAUGUGGGAACAGCUUGGGAACAGAUUGAUGCAGAAGGGUGAAAAAGGCUGAGUGAGUGUAUGUGUGUGCUGUAAUGGGUGUGUAUGUGUGUAUGUGCUCUCAGAGCUAAUUCCAAGGCAAACAAGGGGAAGCUUCUUCUAAGUAACUCAGCUCUGGUGUGCUCCUGUGCUCCGUCUCCAGUGAGCUCUGGCAUAGCCUCUUCAAUUAUAUUGAAGUUUGGCCACCAAAUCCCAUCUAAAACAGAUAGUUGAUGCAUUGUGAGGAAUGUAAAUUUGAUCAUUUUCACAUCUCAUUCAUCAGACGGUGGCUGUGAUUGGAAUUUAUCUUUGUCAGAAUUUACUCCUCGUCAGGGGUUAGAAAUGUUCCACCAUGCUAACCAGCACAAAGCAUUGUGAUCAACUAGGCUAUUUUCUUACUAAUAUGGGGUCAUUUUCACUUCAGUCUGACUUAAUAUCACCCCGGUAUUGCUUCACCGAGGCUUCGGCGGACCGGGCACGGAAGGAAAAGGGCUCGGGUGGACUGUGCUGGCAUGCUGCAGGCUACGUUUGGUUGGAUCCCACCGAGGUUAAUUCAACUGCUGUUGUCUGGAUGACACCUUCAGUCUGUGACAGACCUGCGAGGGCCGGGUGCUUGUGGCACUUUCACGAUACCCCACCGAUCUGUCCUUGGGUCCAGUUCAGGUGCCGCUCAGCACAGCACACUCCCCAAAGGCCCCGUUGACCUUGUUUCGUGCAGGGAUUAUUUUCAUAUAGUGUGGUCACGUCACAGUGCCGUGUGUUCGUUUAGGCAGUCAGACACUCAGCACGGUAGAUUUAGGAUUUUUAACUGUGCCUCUAAUACAAAUGAGAUGUUUCCCCCUCUAAAUUAAUAGAUAUUAAAUCCUAUUUAAACCGUUUUUUCAGGUUGACUUCCCUCAAUUUGACAAAAGUGAUGCAGCAGACUGUGGCCACGAAGCGUUUCCGCCUCGCCCUGAGCUGCAAUGUGACCACGGGCGAGUGCAGGGUAUGUCAGUUUGUGCACCGUGCUGGAGACUGACGAGGGGGCUCGCCCUCGCAGAUAACCAACCGGCUGUUGUCCUAAAAGUGCAGCACAUUGCCGUAUCGCCUCAGGACAACAAAUCAGGGACAGCAAAGGACAAUGGUGCAUGCUGAACGUUCUGCUGAUAUGAGAUCACUCUUCCAACAAAACAGGCAGCGGUUCAGAGUGUUUAUUGUGCUCACAAAGAGGAAUUAUGUUGAUUUGUCUUUCAAUGGUUAUGCUACGGUGAGAUUAUGAGAGAAUUUCUAUGCAAGCGAGUGUUUCCUCAGUCAUUAGGUCAGCUAUCCGCUUGAAUACUGCAUCUUUGCUGAGGAAACCCAAACAUUAGAUUGGAUGUAAUUGAGAGAAAUGAAGCCAUGCUUCAAGCAGUUAAGCCGUUGCACUAAAGCGUGCACAGAAAUGCUCUUCGUUAAUCUCUGAUCAAGUGGGAUAUUACCUCUCAUGGAGAGCUUAGUAAAUGCUCAUUAAGGCAUUACACCGUAAAUGCCUGGAUAAUUAUGAACUCCAUUUUGCCUCCCAACAAAAUCACACAGUUUACCAAACAUUCAGCGGCAAUAAAGUGAAUGAACUUUAGGGGUCUAACGGAGCAUGACAAAUGCGUAGUGACGUUACACAUGUCAGUUUAUAACCCUGAACAUACUCUUCACCCUCCUGGUCAUACAGUGCAUAUGUCAGGGUUAGGGACAAAAGCCUCCCGCCAACGUCUCAUACCAGGCUGAAUCUGUUAGAAUCAGACUCGUGCAUGAAUAAGUGCACACGAACUCUGUUGCACAGAAAAGUGCUGAUUAUUUUAUCAAGACAGUUAAUACCUUUUUAAAAGAAGUUAGUGUUACUGCAGGAUACUGUCAGUUUAUGACGUCGAGGUGUGAGAUAUAUGUCAAUAAACCUAGCCGUACAGCACAUGAAAUUGGAAAGACUAAAAACGUCCUCACGUUCUUCCACGUGCCAUUCUUCCCCAUUAUUCAGGAUUAGAAACAGGUGUUAGUGUGUGUCUGUGCAGAUGUAUUAACACAACCAUCACAUGCCCUGAGUAGGUCUGUGUUUGUUUUUUUGACAAGUGGUCCUGUGUGUGCGUCUGUGUGUGUGUGUGUGUGUGUGUGUGCGUGCGUGGAUGUUGUUGCAGGCCAGUGACAGCUGAAGAAGAGGACUGUAUUUGUGGAGGAACAGCAUGGCUGCAGAGAGGAGCGGAGAUCCUGAGGGAGGCCUAAUGGUUCCACUCCUUCCUGCACAGAGAUAAAGACUCAUAAUAAGCGUGUAUGCACACCAUCUGGCCCUGUGCAUGUGGCCCUUAUGGAGGCGAAAGCAGCACAAUCUGUAAACGAUCAGGAGCCAUGGCGCUCCCCCUAGAGAGGCCGCCAUGCAAUCAAGGUGACAGAUGGCAGCACCACUGCUGCGGCCUCAUGGAGGAGAUCAAAAUCACCUUCAAUAAACUCUGACUGGAAUGGGCACAGGCCCCCUCAAAAAGUCAGUUUGUCAGUCAAACUGUGGCAGCUUGUGGAAACAGGGGGAACACACAGCGGCCCGUCCGUCCACCGCCUGAUAUCCAUAUUUUCCGUCUGACUGAGCCUGAACUGUGAUCUUUCUCCAGUUGUCCUCUCGACUCGUGCCGGCGUGGGCGAGCUGGCUGCCAGCAGCCGCAGUGCUACUGGGGGGAAAUUGAGAACAUGAUGCCGCUAAUGUGGGGCAAUAGGAGCGGAUGGUGGCAGAGAGACAUUAAAUAACCGACUGGUACUCUAUUUAUUUUAUGACAGGACCGCCCACGAUUCGCCUCUCUUUGUUUAUUUAAUUACACAUUUACACACACACACACACACACACACACACACACACACACACACACACACACACACACACACACGCUUAAACACACAUACAUUCAACCACACAUAAACCAACGUUAUUUUUGCAGUAUAUAAUACAACUCAUCCCUAUAAAUUAGAUGUGCAUUCAACAGAGAGCUCCGGCUGAUUUCCUACCCUUUCAUAUUUUUUUGUUUUAACAUCUGAUGGAGCAGCAGGGUCCAGCCUCCGCACCGUGUCUGUAUCUGAGUGUUUGUGUCCUGAGCAUGGAGAUAGAAAUGCUUGGGAAUGCUAUUUCACACAUCCCCUUCAUCUGAUGCGCAGCUUCUGUCAGUGAUGUGAGAAAAACAGCCUGACUCUCCAAGCUUUUUUUGCACCAGUGCAAAAGUUCAAAAUUGAAACGCCAUCUGUUCAAUAAAACUAAUCUAGGCAGGGAGAGCCGCUUCCAAGGCUUUCCUCAUUGGAUGUGUCUCUUGUAUUCGAACCCCCUGCCACAUCAACUCUAGAUAUUAUCAUUUGCAAAAUAAAUUGAUGUAGGGCAAACAAGUCCAGGCCCACAAUUUGUGAAUAAUUUGUUUGGCGACUUGGCCUUUGAUCUUAUUUAACAUUCUUCUACGUCCACAGUUCCGUUUUUUUUUUUAAAUGAAUUAAUAUGCAGGCACUUUUAUUGUACGCUGUAUAUCUGGAUCCAGACUCUCGACCACCUUCACUCUUUAGUUUUAAUAAAACGCGGAGCCAUAAGUACUUUUAGAGAAAAUCAAACGUGCUCUCCUCUGCUUCAGCCUUUAAACACUCACUUAGUUAAUUGCUACACUUAUUUGAUUAAUUGGGCAAGUUCCAUUGUACUGUCUCUUCACCGCCCUUGUUUUAUCGAGGUGCCCUGGAGUGCUCUUCAUCAUCCACUUUUAAACAUUUUUACAAAUGUUAAAUAUGUGCACUUUAACUAAUAAUUAGAUCAAUUACACUAAUUACUAUCGUAAGUUGAAGUGAAAACACUAAAGUGGCUCUUUGGUUUCAUAUCCGUAGUGUGGUAUUUUUUUGACUCCAGUCUUAAAUCUGUGACCAAAUGUACUGGACCUCAGGGCUCUGGUCAUAACAUUUAAGGUUAAAAUAAUAGUACUUCUCUCAAUUUCCCAAAAUUCUCCCAAAUUGAAUUGGGUUUUUUCGCCAAGAAAUAUAUGGGCUGUAGGUUGACUGUACUUGAACUGAAUCUUCUGAGGGCUUUCUUAAACAUUAGUUGGGCUUUUAAUACACUUCUACUCACACACCCGGUACAGAGCUGCCUUGUUGAACCACAUAGUUUUUCGGCUGGGUCUUGGACAGCCAGUUCCUUUAAGAACUUCCGUCAAGAAAACAAAGGAAAUAGAUUUUUAAUCUUUGAGCUCUGCUAUGGACUUUUCAUAUAGCAAAUGAAUAAAUAUCCAUCCAUCGUCAAACCGCUUAUCCUGCACACAGGGUCGCGGUGAAUAAAUAUUAUAAUUGUUAUUUUUACUCAAUGCAAGGUAACUAUAAUAUGCAUUGGUUUCUUUCAAUGUAUUGAAUUGUGCAGUUGGUUAAUACAUGAAUUUCUAAAUACAUUUGCUUAAAAAGCACCUCAACUUCAAACUUACGCAUUUAAUGCAUCUGCCUAAUAUUUGGGAUCACUUUAAAGACAUUUAAAACUUAAAUAGAAUAAAUAUAAAUCGCAGUUUAUAGUCAUUAUUGCAAAACUGUUUAUGUUGCAUUUGCUUAGUGUUUCUUUUUGAACGUAUUAAGCGAAAUGUAAAGUAAUGAAAUGGUGGGUCACAUUAUGAUUCAACACUUGUUGAAAAUGUAGUUUUUCAGCUAACACUUUUAUCGUGCACAUUCUUAAAUAAAUAUUCUAAAAUUACACAGUAUUCUAGCAUAUGAAUAAUUCAAAAAUUAACAUCCACUGAGCGCAGGAGGAA